UCUGCAAUCAGACCUGGUUUCCUCCCAAC
This 29-nucleotide non-coding RNA is filed under the name Mus musculus (house mouse). The record is from RNAcentral. Lineage: Eukaryota; Metazoa; Chordata; Mammalia; Rodentia; Muridae.